Molecule: ribosomal RNA, 332 nt
Filed under: uncultured bacterium
Lineage: Bacteria
Description: bacterial SSU rRNA
Rfam family: Bacterial small subunit ribosomal RNA
Source: RNAcentral
CGUGUAGGCGGACGCGUAAGUCCGGUGUAAAAGCCCCCGGCUCAACCGGGGAAGGCCAUCGGAGACUGCACGUCUCGAGUGCGGGAGGGGAGAGUGGAACUCUUGGUGGAGCGGUGAAAUGCGUAGAUAUCAAGAGGAACGCCGGUGGCGAAAGCGGCUCUCUGGCCCGUGACUGACGCUGAGGCGCGAAAGCUAGGGGAGCAAACGGGAUUAGAUACCCCGGUAGUCCUAGCCCUAAACGAUGGGUACUAAGUAGGGGCGGCUCCGAUGUCGUCUCUGCUGUAGCCAAUGUGCUAAGUACCCCGCCUGGGGAGUACGGUCGCAAGGCUGAA